UACGUAGGGUUCAAGCGCUAUCCGGAAUCACUGGGCGUAAAGAGUGCGUAGGCGGGAACUUAAGUGCAAUGCGAAAUCCGGUGGCUCAACCACCUGGACUGUAUCGCAUACUGAGUUUCUUGAGGACGGCAGAGGCAAGUGGAAUUACAGGUGUAGGGGUGAAAUCCGUAGAUAUCUGUAGGAACACCAAUGGCGAAGGCAGCUUGCUGGGCCGUAUCUGACGCUAAGGCACGAAAGCGUGGGGAGCAAACAGG
This 254-nucleotide ribosomal RNA is filed under the name uncultured bacterium. RNAcentral describes it as "partial 16S ribosomal RNA". It matches the Rfam family "Bacterial small subunit ribosomal RNA", at positions 524 to 776 of the family's 1533-position model. The record is from RNAcentral.